AGCGAAGCGACGUCAAAGCGUUCAUUAAAGUCGAGUUGGCUUAGGGAUACGUUCGUUGGGUAGGGGAGCGUUCUGUAAGCCUGUGAAGGUGUGUCGUGAGGCAUGCUGGAGGUAUCAGAAGUGCGAAUGCUGACAUAAGUAACGAUAAAGCGGGUGAAAAGCCCGCUCGCCGGAAGACCAAGGGUUCCUGUCCAACGUUAAUCGGGGCAGGGUGAGUCGACCCCUAAGGCGAGGCCGAAAGGCGUAGUCGAUGGGAAACGGGUUAAUAUUCCCGUACUUGGUGUUACUGCGAAGGGGGGACGGAGAAGGCUAUGUUGGCCGGGCGACGGUUGUCCCGGUUUAAGCGUGUAGGUGUGUGUUCCAGGUAAAUCCGGUUCACUUUAACACUGAGGCGUGACGACGAGGCACUACGGUGCUGAAGCAACAAAUGCCCUGCUUCCAGGAAAAGCCUCUAAGCAUCAGGUAACACGAAAUCGUACCCCAAACCGACACAGGUGGUCAGGUAGAGAAUACCAAGGCGCUUGAGAGAACUCGGGUGAAGGAACUAGGCAAAAUGGUGCCGUAACUUCGGGAGAAGGCACGCUGACACGUAGGUGAAGUGAUUUACUCAUGGAGCUGAAGUCAGUCGAAGAUACCAGCUGGCUGCAACUGUUUAUUAAAAACACAGCACUGUGCAAACACGAAAGUGGACGUAUACGGUGUGACGCCUGCCCGGUGCCGGAAGGUUAAUUGAUGGGGUCAGCGUAAGCGAAGCUCCUGAUCGAAGCCCCGGUAAACGGCGGCCGUAACUAUAACGGUCCUAAGGUAGCGAAAUUCCUUGUCGGGUAAGUUCCGACCUGCACGAAUGGCGUAAUGAUGGCCAGGCUGUCUCCACCCGAGACUCAGUGAAAUUGAACUCGCUGUGAAGAUGCAGUGUACCCGCGGCAAGACGGAAAGACCCCGUGAACCUUUACUAUAGCUUGACACUGAACAUUGAGCCUUGAUGUGUAGGAUAGGUGGGAGGCUUUGAAGUGUGGACGCCAGUCUGCAUGGAGCCGACCUUGAAAUACCACCCUUUAAUGUUUGAUGUUCUAACGUGGACCCGUAAUCCGGGUUGCGGACAGUGUCUGGUGGGUAGUUUGACUGGGGCGGUCUCCUCCUAAAGAGUAACGGAGGAGCACGAAGGUUGGCUAAUCCUGGUCGGACAUCAGGAGGUUAGUGCAAUGGCAUAAGCCAGCUUGACUGCGAGCGUGACGGCGCGAGCAGGUGCGAAAGCAGGUCAUAGUGAUCCGGUGGUUCUGAAUGGAAGGGCCAUCGCUCAACGGAUAAAAGGUACUCCGGGGAUAACAGGCUGAUACCGCCCAAGAGUUCAUAUCGACGGCGGUGUUUGGCACCUCGAUGUCGGCUCAUCACAUCCUGGGGCUGAAGUAGGUCCCAAGGGUAUGGCUGUUCGCCAUUUAAAGUGGUACGCGAGCUGGGUUUAGAACGUCGUGAGACAGUUCGGUCCCUAUCUGCCGUGGGCGCUGGAGAACUGAGGGGGGCUGCUCCUAGUACGAGAGGACCGGAGUGGACGCAUCACUGGUGUUCGGGUUGUCAUGCCAAUGGCACUGCCCGGUAGCUAAAUGCGGAAGAGAUAAGUGCUGAAAGCAUCUAAGCACGAAACUUGCCCCGAGAUGAGUUCUCCCUGAGACUUAGAGUCUCCUGAAGGAACGUUGAAGACGACGACGUUGAUAGGCCGGGUGUGUAAGCGCAGCGAUGCGUUGAGCUAACCGGUACUAAUGAACCGUGAGGCUUAACCUU
RNAcentral lists this ribosomal RNA (1779 nucleotides) under Salmonella enterica. RNAcentral describes it as "partial 23S ribosomal RNA". It matches the Rfam family "Bacterial large subunit ribosomal RNA", at positions 1193 to 2925 of the family's 2925-position model. Lineage: Bacteria; Pseudomonadati; Pseudomonadota; Gammaproteobacteria; Enterobacterales; Enterobacteriaceae. The record is from RNAcentral.